RNAcentral lists this long non-coding RNA (3465 nucleotides) under Homo sapiens (human). RNAcentral's name for it is "HSALNT0157694". The record is from RNAcentral. Lineage: Eukaryota; Metazoa; Chordata; Mammalia; Primates; Hominidae.
CAUGAUGGUUUUGCUUUUUAUAGAAUUUCAUAAGAAUGAAAUAAUAUGGCAUGUGCCUUUUUUGUGUUUGAAUUCCUUAACUUAGCAUAAUGUCUUUGACAUCCAUCCAUGUUGUGACAUGUGAUACUAUUUUGUUCCUUUCUAUUACUGGGUAGUAUUCCAUUGUGUGGAUACUCCAUGGUAUUUAUGCAUUCACCAAAGCCAAUAAGCAUCUGGGCUGCUUCCAGUAUUUGGCUAUUAAGAAUAAUGCUGCUAUAAACAUGUGUGUACAUGUUUGCGAAGACAUGUUUCUAUUUCUCUUUGAGAAAUAGGAGGAGUGAGUUUGUUGGGUCAUACAGUAAGUAUAUGCUAAACCUUCUAAGAUUCUGACUAGUUUUUAGAGUAGCUGUACCAUUUUUCAUUUCCACCAGCAAUAAAUGAAAGUUCCAUUCACUCUGCGUCUUCACCAACACUUAGUAUUGUCAGCCUUUUUACAUUUAGCCAUUUUAGUGGGCACAACAAUGUUGCAUUUUGGUUUCAUUUGCAUUUUCUGAAAGCUAGUGAUGUUAAGCAUCUUUCCUCUAUGUGCUUGCCAUUCAUAUAUCUUCUUUGGUGAAGUGUCUACAAAUCUUUGAGCACUUUUAAUCAUUGAGUUCACUAAAUGGGAAGGGAUCAGUACCCAGAGCUGACAAUUACGGUCAAAGUGUCUCAAACUUAGGGAUAUCAAAGAAAGGCCUAACUAUGUGUGGUCUUAUUUCAAAUCAUCUUGUAUGGUCACAUCUAAACAAGGUUAGGAACAGUGGUAAAAUCAACUGCGGCCUUUGCUUUGAUUUAAAAACAUUCUUAUCUAUCGGGGGAAGAUUUACCAGGAAGUUAUGGAAUCUUGAGCUUCAGGAAUCUAGAGUUCCACGGACAGGCCCCUCCCAAGUCCUGGGGAGGGCCUUGCAAUGUGUUUAUGUUCAUUCUAAGCAAAUAUAAAUGUGUCUUCCUUAUUCACAUGUGUAAUUUCGUAUUCUUAUUUUAGCAAACACCCCUGCCUCAAAAGAUAUAUUUCAAGCUCUACAAAGAACUCAGGGACAAGCCAGCUAGAGUUAUUUGAAUGAUUUAAGAGUAUAGCUGCAAAGACAAUGAAUGUCCUCUAAAUUAUGAGAGAGACUGUGUGAUGUGUGCAGGUGUGUGUAUUCAGGCCUUGUAUGCAUAAGUGUGUAAGGGACUAUAUGUGAAUAUGUGUGUCAGGGGUGUGCUGUGUGCUGGCAUAGAGUCUAGAAGAGGAAGAAUAACCAUAAGCUUGGUAAAAUAUCUCAGAAAAUAUCCUCUAACUUAUUUGUCUCUGUUUUCUCUGCUUUAUUUAAAAGGACAGUUUUAACAAAAACUAUGUUUUUUUAAUUUUUAGUUUUUAUUUUUAUUUCUAUAGAACUUUGGGGGAACAGGUGGUAUUUGGUUACAUGAAUAAGUUAUUUAGUGGUGAUUUGUGAGAUUUUGGCUCACCCAUCACCGAAGAGUGUCCACUAUACCCAGUGGGUAGUCUUUGAUCCCUCACCCCCUCCCACCCUCUCUCCCAAGUCUCCAAAGUCCAUUUUAUCCUACUCAUGUCUUUGUGUCCUCAUAGCUUAGCUCCCACUUAUGUGUGAGAACAUAUGCCACAACCUGGAUGGAAUUGGAGGCCAUUAUUCUAAGGGAAGUAAUGCGGGAAUGGAAAACUAUAUUGUUUUUAAAACCCUGAGUUCCAAGAACAGAUAAUUGGCACAGAGGUCUGAAUCAAGACAAGCUGACAACACAUCUCAGAGAUCAGCAGAGCACAGUCAUAGAUGGGGUCCUUGUUCAGGUAUCCUCAGUUCUUCCACCUAGGAAUUAGAUUUCUUUACGGCCUCUCACAUCAUACCUUCAUUUCCAAACAAGUGCACACGACUCUGGGAUCGAGCUCCCAUCUGUCUCAAGGACUCUCUAGAAUCUUGGGUAGACCACUCGGGAAUUUUGUCUGUAAGUGAAAGUGAAUCCUAGGUCGCAGUGAAGGUCUUUUGUAGCUGUAAUGCCCCAUUAAAAAUAAUGCCAUUACUCUUUACAUGUGCUUAAGAUCAAAGGUGAAGUAAGUUUUUAUUUGUUCAGUGUAGUCUUCCAAUCUUUUUCUAUAACUUUUCUGGGUUGUUUUUGUGGCCUGUCAUUUGUGGACGGCGUAGCAACCUCAAACCUACCUGUCUCUGGCCCCUGAGGGAAAUGUAACUGACAAAAGUCCCAGCCACUGUGCCCCGAGACCCAUCUCCAUGUCCGUGCUCAGGCCAUGUUUCCCCCGGCCAAGGAUGAAGCACGCAGGUGAGCUAAGGCAGGUCCAUCCCGAAGACAUAGACGUCUCUGCUGGUAGCUUUGGAUGGGGGAAUCCUCACCAUCUUCCCAAAUUCUCUCAGGAAACUGGAGUCUCAGGUGUCUCCGCCACCUCCUUCUCUCCCUCCCUCACCUGAUAUCAUUCCACUCACUUCCCCCUCAGCAACCACUAAUCUACUUUCUGUUUUUGUAGAUUUGUCUCUUUUAGAUAUUUCAUAUAAGCAGGAUUUAUAUAACAUCUGGGCUUGUGUGUCUGGCUUCUUUUGCAAAGCAUCACAUUUUUAAAGUUCAUCUAUGUUAUAGCAUGUAUCAAUAUUUCAUUCCUCUUUACUGACAAAUAAUAUUAUAUUAUAUUAAUGUGCCACAUUUUAUGUACUCAUUCAUGAGUUGAUGGACAUUUGGGUUGUUUCUGCUUUGGGCUAUUAUAAACAAUGCACACAAAAAACUUGUGUGCAAGUUUUUCUGUGGACAUAUGUUCUCAUUUCUGUUGGGUAGACACCUCAGAGCAGAAUUGCUGAAUCAUAGCUACAUGCUAUGAUUGACAUUUUCAGAAAAUGAAAACUGUUUUCUAAAGCAACUGCACUAUUUUAUAUUCUACCAGAAGUGCAUGAGUACUCUAAUUUUUCCAUGUCCUUAAGUGUGCACUAUGCAAACUUGAUUUAAUAACAUCUAAACUUAAUCAGUCUGACUACAUUUCUAGAAAACAACACAAGAAACUUAAAAUAGAUCACCUCAAGUAGAUUAUUCCCACCUUUCUCAUGUGUUCUGGGUGGGUCAGAACCCCCCAAAUCAGAACUUACUCUUAUUUGCCAUAGUCAAAAUGUGUUUCAAUUUUACUCACAUAUUUACUAGUUGCUUCGAUUGUCACUUUUUUUCCCUCUCAUUCUUAUCUUUUUUCUAGAGUCACAUUUUUUUUCCCUUGGUGAUGCUUUCAGCAAUGCUCUGUGAGCAGUAACAUCUCGGUUUCCUUCUGUCCUUUUUAUCCUCUUUCCCUCCCUCCCUCCCUUCCUUCCUUCCUUCUCUCUUGCUCCCUCCUUCCUUCCCUCCCUCCUUCCUUCGUUCUUUCCUUCCUUCUUCUUCCUCCCUCACUCCCUCCUUCCUUCUCUCCCUCCUUCCUUCCUUCUUUUCUUCCUUCCUUUUUUUCUUUCCUUCCUUCCUCCUCUUCCC